This is a long non-coding RNA of Tripterygium wilfordii, 562 nucleotides long. RefSeq lists it as uncharacterized. NCBI's taxonomy places the organism in Eukaryota, Viridiplantae, Streptophyta, Magnoliopsida, Celastrales, Celastraceae. The record is from RefSeq and is a predicted model, not a curated record. The transcript has 3 exons.
CAAAUAAUAAAUAAUUGAAGGGUGAGUCGGCCAGAAUCUGACUCGAGUGUAAAGUUCCCUUCUUCAACUCCUAAUAAUCACCACACUUCGUAUUCAGGCGUUUAGCAAACCAAUUUUUUUUCUCUCUCAAGGACUGAUCUGAUCUUCAAUCCAAGCUCCUCGUUUUCUCCGCCCCAUACUCAGGGCCACAACUACCAUGGAAACAAAGCAGAGUGAUGCAACUGUCAACGCCAGUUGAGACUCCCAAAUGAAGCUUUGGUCUGUGGAGAUGGGUGUCGGCAACGAUCAACAUGGGAAAGAUAUUACGGCUGCAACAAUUCCUGCGCAGAAGGGUCCAUACCUGGUGUCACAUUUGAACAAAUAAAGCUACAAAUCAAGCUAGAAGUACCUCAUUCUCUUCAGCAAUCCAUGGAUAUUGAGAGUCAAGUCUGUCUUUCCUUGGUAAGUGUUGACAUCUGUGGAAGUUUGAUGUAUUAUUUUAUACUAUUGUUUCAAGAAUGUCAUCCUUCUCUUUUCUUAAAACACAGCUUAUCCAGUUUAUUGUUAAUGCCAUCCUAUCGAU